GGUUUGACGGUACCUUUAAAGGAAGCACCGGCUAACUCCGUGCCAGCAGCCGCGGUAAUACGGGGGGUGCAAGCGUUGUUCGGAAUUAUUGGGCGUAAAGCGCGUGUAGGCGGUCUGAUUAGUCUGAUGUGAAAGCCCUGGGCUCAACCCAGGAAGUGCAUCGGAUACCGUCAGACUUGAAUACGGGAGAGGGUAGUGGAAUUCCUAGUGUAGGAGUGAAAUCCGUAGAUAUUAGGAGGAACACCGGUGGCGAAGGCGGCUACCUGGACCAAUAUUGACGCUGAGACGCGAAAGCGUGGGUAGCAAACAGGAUUAGAUACCCUGGUAGUCCACGCCGUAAACGAUGAGAACUAGGUGUCGCGGGUA
This 366-nucleotide ribosomal RNA is filed under the name uncultured Geobacteraceae bacterium. RNAcentral describes it as "bacterial SSU rRNA". It matches the Rfam family "Bacterial small subunit ribosomal RNA", at positions 466 to 831 of the family's 1533-position model. The record is from RNAcentral. Lineage: Bacteria; Pseudomonadati; Thermodesulfobacteriota; Desulfuromonadia; Geobacterales; Geobacteraceae.